Molecule: transfer RNA, 70 nt
Filed under: Megaleporinus elongatus
Lineage: Eukaryota; Metazoa; Chordata; Actinopteri; Characiformes; Anostomidae
Description: tRNA-Arg
Rfam family: tRNA
About the family: Transfer RNA (tRNA) molecules are approximately 80 nucleotides in length. Their secondary structure includes four short double-helical elements and three loops (D, anti-codon, and T loops).
Source: RNAcentral
AGGGGGUUAGUCCAAAAUAAGACCUCUGAUUUCGACUCAGAAGACUGUGGUUUAAGCCCACAACCCCCUU